UCCCUGGUGGCUCAGGAGGUAAAGAAUCUGCCUGCAAUGCAGGAGACCCAAGUUCGAUCCCUGGCUCAGGAG
Non-coding RNA from Bos taurus (domestic cattle), 72 nucleotides. NCBI's taxonomy places the organism in Eukaryota, Metazoa, Chordata, Mammalia, Artiodactyla, Bovidae. The record is from Rfam.